CUUACAAGUGUGGGGAAGGGAAGGGAAGGCGGCAGAAACCAACUGUGCCUGGGCUGCAUAGCAAUGGUGCUUACAGGACACCCAUGAGCAUGUUCUGGCAUUCAGUCGUGAUAUUUCCUUCUGUUCUGUUGCCAUGCUGAGUAUGAUUCCAUGCUGCCCUGUGCUCCUGCUAUACAGACACUGCUCUUCUGUGAUCAGCACUUUGUGACUCUCCUGGCAGUGCAAUAUGGUCAGCACCUCAAACUGUUUACGUACAACUGGUGAGAAAAUGAGGUUCUUCACUUUGCCAAAGUGCUAAGGUUGAGGUAAAGUUCUGCCUCUCCUCAGCCCUUGAAGGAGUUUAGCCACCACAAGGCCUGGAGAAAGGGAGAUGCACUGCUGCAGUGAAACCCAGCAGCUGGUAAAAACCAAACCUGCUACAAAAAAGGCUCAGAACAAAACUGGAAAUGCAAAACAAGGUCUUUCUGGGAAGGCAAAUUGUCAUGACUGCCUGAAAUUGAAUUUGGAUUGGUGAUCUCUAAGAGGACCUUUAUUCAUCAGAAAGAGUUCCCUUCUUGACUUUCAUAGAAGCAUCAAGAAGCAGAUGAACUUCUCUCACAGAAUCUCUUCAGAAUGCAAAGGUGAAAGCACUGAUCCAAACCCUGCUUCUUAAAUAACUUGUGUGUCUUUGGAGUGUGUGUGGCAUGGCCAGCAUUACUGUUACACUGUGGUGCCUUUGGAGAUGAGGCAUUGCGGAGCUGUUCUCUCACUUUUCUGAAAUAUAUUUCCCAGUCUUGUUUUUUGUUUGUUUCUAAAACACACGUGCUUCAGUUUCUGGGUAAGCUGUGUUUGAUAAUGAAAGCUGUGCCUCUGCUAUCACAGAGCAGUUCCUUAUCCUUCUCUUUUGCUGUAAACAAGGAUAAAUGGUUAUGCUCCCUUAAAGCUGAAGUCUUGUGUCAGUCACACCAUAUAAACAUGUUCUCUUUUUCUCUUGCAUUAGUGUCAGGGAAGAAAAUGACAGCACUGCUGAUUUCCUUCAUCCUUUUACUUGUUUCAAAUCUUGGAGUCAUGAUACACAAGCAAACCCAGGACUAGUUUAUCCAGUCCAAAGCUGAUGUGCAAAAUGUAAUUAUCUUGGACAGGGACUUUUCUCUGGAACCUGCCUACUCAACACGUCAGCCCUUUGUUCUCUGGCAGUGUUAAAGCUGGAGUCUUAUUUCACUUUAUCUCUGCUAUUGCUCUACAUCUUCCACUCCACCUCCAAUGUUUGUUUCUGCAACGCCUUGCUCAAAAAUGUAAAAGGUGUCCUGUCAUAAGCAAAAAGCACCAGAAACGUGUAGCAGUGAAUAAACAAAUUGCUAUUUGGCAUCCUUCUUAAAAGUUGUUAUCUCGCUGUCUUGGCUGUUCAUUAAGACAGAUGCAUAAAGCAUCUGUAGUGGCCAUCACUCACUGCCAGGAUCCUGGCCACCGCAGCACAGCUGAACAGCCCAUUUCACUAAUGGAGGAGAGAGUUAGCAGCAAUCAUCCUGACAAUAAUGGUCUCAUGGCCAUCCCUCACCGGGAGGGAGGAGCUGCCAAUGUGCUCUGUGCAUGUGCUAAAUAACAUCACCCAGCAUUUCACAGCCGCAGCCUAGAAAGCAUUCAGAAACGCCAGUCCUGUUUUAAAGCUAAUUAUUGCAUGGCAAUCUAGCUCAAUAUUCAGUGCCAUUAUUGAUGUAAAGACUAAAAGUUUAAUUGCAGGACAGCUCUGAAAAUUAGAGUCCUGCUGGGUUCCUCUCCAGCUUCCUAUGGGAUGUGUUUGUGCAAAAACAAAGGAAAUGGUAAAACAAUAAUCAGCAUACGUGCACAGAUGUGCUGCUGAUGGCAGGAGGGUGUGGAAGGAAGCAGCACAGGUGCUUACUCAGCCCCACACUUGCUGGUUGUGGUGAGAUGUGUCUUGAAAGAAUUACAGAGGACAGCUGAGCAGGAUAGCAGAAGUCCUGGACUGUUCAUGACAGUUUCCUCAUUAUCAGAAAAAAUUCAAGUGUGAAACUGCUGUUAUUAGACUGAUCUCAGAUCUGAGCUAGAGAACAGCAAGAUGGAAGGAGGACUGAUGUUUCCUGUUGAUGUGAUUCUCCUUUUCUUUGGAUAAAGCCACUAACAGUCCUUCUGCAAAGGAAUGUUUGUGGCUUUAUGCAGAGAAAAGGAGGAAGCAGUUUGGAAAGAUCAUGGAAAUCACAUUUCCAAGCUUCCCAAAAAAUAUAUCUUGUGUCAAUUGAACUGUGUCAAUGAAGGCAAGUCUGGGGACGUGUAGAAAUAAGGAAAGAACUGGAAGUGUAGCUGCUGUGGGUCUCCACAGAUCCAAGCAGGAGAAGUGUGAUAAACAUGGAUAUCUCAAGACUUCUGCUGCUGCAGUUUCCAUGGUGGGAAGGCAUAAUCUCUCCUGAAUGUGUUUGCAAACAAAAUUCCAGAGGACCUGGUUGGAUUUAGCUGGACCCCUACAUUAGUCUGCUUCAUCUCCUUAAGCAGCCUGUUCUGCUUCAGAAUCCUCAAGAUUUUCUGGAUUUAUUUAGGUACAAGGUGACAGUGAAAUGGUGGUGCCUUUUCCACCACCAAUGCUGGUGCUGUUAAGCCACUGGAGUUGGAAUGGCAGAAGAAUGAAGCACAGGAGAAAGUGGAAAACUCUAAAGAAAAAGAAUUAUCAAACCACUAAUGAGAAACAGGCUUUGUUAUUCUGUUCAAGAGAAUUAUCACAAAAUUGGUGGCAUUUGUAUGAGCAUAUUUCAUAUUUUUAUGUGUAAUACCAGACCCACUAUCACAGUUUUUCUAUUCAUCUCUAGAACUGUCUUUAUAUUUUUCCCUCUUAUGCCACGGAGCUGCUAUCACUCAGUGUUAAUGAGAACAAAAACCAGUAAAAAUUCUAUUUGAAACUGCUUAUACCCCAAACAAG
Long non-coding RNA from Passer domesticus (house sparrow), 2908 nucleotides. RefSeq lists it as uncharacterized. NCBI's taxonomy places the organism in Eukaryota, Metazoa, Chordata, Aves, Passeriformes, Passeridae. The transcript is spliced from 6 exons. The record is from RefSeq and is a predicted model, not a curated record.